This 73-nucleotide transfer RNA is filed under the name Ailuropoda melanoleuca (giant panda). It matches the Rfam family "tRNA". Rfam says of the family: Transfer RNA (tRNA) molecules are approximately 80 nucleotides in length. Lineage: Eukaryota; Metazoa; Chordata; Mammalia; Carnivora; Ursidae. The record is from Rfam by way of RNAcentral.
ACCUGGCUGGCUCAGUUGGUAGAGCAUGUGAUUCUUGAUCUCAGGGUUGUGAGUUCAAGCCCCAUGUUGGGUG